UUUGAAAUCUGGCGUCUUCGACGUCCGAGUUGUAAUUUGAAGAAGGCAACUUUGUAGCUGGUCCUUGUCUAUGUUCCUUGGAACAGGACGUCAUAGAGGGUGAGAAUCCCGUGUGGCGAGGAUCCCAGUUAUUUGUAAAGUGCUUUCGACGAGUCGAGUUGUUUGGGAAUGCAGCUCUAAGUGGGUGGUAAAUUCCAUCUAAAGCUAAAUAUUGGCGAGAGACCGAUAGCGAACAAGUACAGUGAUGGAAAGAUGAAAAGAACUUUGAAAAGAGAGUGAAAAAGUACGUGAAAUUGUUGAAAGGGAAGGGCAUUUGAUCAGACAUGGCGUUUGCUUCGGCUUUCGCUGGGCCAGCAUCAGUUUUAGCGGUUGGAUAAAUCCUCGGGAAUGUGGCUCUGCUUCGGUAGAGUGUUAUAGCCCGUGGGAAUACAGCCAGCUGGGACUGAGGAUUGCGACUUUUGUCAAGGAUGCUGGCGUAAUGGUUAAAUGCCGCCCGU
RNAcentral lists this ribosomal RNA (497 nucleotides) under Kluyveromyces lactis. Its description in RNAcentral is "partial 26S ribosomal RNA". It matches the Rfam family "Eukaryotic large subunit ribosomal RNA", at positions 114 to 652 of the family's 3401-position model. The record is from RNAcentral. Lineage: Eukaryota; Fungi; Ascomycota; Saccharomycetes; Saccharomycetales; Saccharomycetaceae.